CCUACGUGAGGCAGCAGUGGGGAAUAUUGCACAAUGGGGGAAACCCUGAUGCAGCAACGCCGCGUGCGUGAAGAAGUAUUUCGGUAUGUAAAGCUCUAUCAGCAGGGAAGAAGAAAGACGGUACCUGACUAAGAAGCCACGGCUAAUGACGUGCCAGCAGCCGCGGUAAUACGUAGGGGGCAAGCGUUAUCCGGAUUUACUGGGGGUAAAGGGAGCGUAGACGGCUGUGCAAGUCUGAAGGGAAAGCCCGGGGCUCAACCGCGGAACUGCUUUGGAAACUGUAUAGCUUGAGUACUGGAGAGGCAGGCGGAAUUCCUAGUGUAGCGGUGAAAUGCGUAGAUAUUAGGAGGAACACCAGUGGCGAAGGCAGCCUGCUGGACAGAAACUGACGUUGAGGCUCGAAAGCGUGGGGAGCAAACAGGAUUAGAUACCCGUGUAGUC
Molecule: ribosomal RNA, 441 nt
Filed under: uncultured bacterium
Lineage: Bacteria
Description: partial 16S ribosomal RNA
Rfam family: Bacterial small subunit ribosomal RNA
Source: RNAcentral